AGUGAACGCUGGCGGUAGGCCUAACACAUGCAAGUCGAACGGCAGCACAGUAAGAGCUUGCUCUUACGGGUGGCGAGUGGCGGACGGGUGAGGAAUACAUCGGAAUCUACUUUUUCGUGGGGGAUAACGUAGGGAAACUUACGCUAAUACCGCAUACGACCUACGGGUGAAAGCAGGGGAUCUUCGGACCUUGCGCGAUUGAAUGAGCCGAUGUCGGAUUAGCUAGUUGGCGGGGUAAAGGCCCACCAAGGCGACGAUCCGUAGCUGGUCUGAGAGGAGGAUCAGCCACACUGGAACUGAGACACGGUCCAGACUCCUACGGGAGGCAGCAGUGGGGAAUAUUGGACAAUGGGCGGAAGCCUGAUCCAGCCAGACCGCGUGGGUGAAGAAGGCCUUCGGGUUGUAAAGCCCUUUUGUUGGGAAAGAAAAGCAGCAGGUUAAUACCCCGCUGUUCUGACGGUACCCAAAGAAUAAGCACCGGCUAACUUCGUG
Molecule: ribosomal RNA, 492 nt
Filed under: uncultured bacterium
Lineage: Bacteria
Description: partial 16S ribosomal RNA
Rfam family: Bacterial small subunit ribosomal RNA
Source: RNAcentral